RNAcentral lists this long non-coding RNA (412 nucleotides) under Homo sapiens (human). RNAcentral describes it as "non-protein coding lnc-RALGPS1-3:1". The record is from RNAcentral. Lineage: Eukaryota; Metazoa; Chordata; Mammalia; Primates; Hominidae.
UGGAAUAAAUAACUAUACAAAGGCUAUGAUAAUUUGAUCUUCUUUAUCUAUUUGUUUUUAUUGUUACAUACUUUUUAAUCUUGUCUUCCAGUUUGUUAAAAAUAUGUUACGGCUUGGUAUUUUUCUCUGUGUAUAUAAUUAAAUAAAACAAUUUAUGAAUUAAGAAAGGUGGCAUUUGGCUUAUAUAUGACCUUUUUCCUAAAAGUUUAUAAAUCUAGUUUUCAAGGUUUAAAUAUUAUUGAAAUACGUAUUCUGAUUUUCUGUAUGUUUGCUUUCUGGGUGUGUAGUAGGAGUUAGAAUAUUUAUGAGAGCUGUUUUUCCCAUUAAAAGCAUAUUGGUUGGACUAGAUAAAUGACUAUUAUGGAUGAUCAAUAUUUGGAAUGAAAAUAUUUACAUUUUCCUUAAUGAGAGG